RNAcentral lists this ribosomal RNA (128 nucleotides) under Devosia sp. RNAcentral's name for it is "partial 16S ribosomal RNA". It matches the Rfam family "Bacterial small subunit ribosomal RNA", at positions 1 to 142 of the family's 1533-position model. The record is from RNAcentral. Lineage: Bacteria; Pseudomonadati; Pseudomonadota; Alphaproteobacteria; Hyphomicrobiales; Devosiaceae.
AAACUUGAGAGUUUGAUCCUGGCUCAGAACGAACGCUGGCGGCAGGCUUAACACAUGCAAGUCGAACGCCCCGCAAGGGGAGUGGCAGACGGGUGAGUAACGCGUGGGAAUCUACCCAGAUCUUCGGA